This 73-nucleotide transfer RNA is filed under the name Cordylochernes scorpioides. RNAcentral describes it as "tRNA-Thr". Lineage: Eukaryota; Metazoa; Arthropoda; Arachnida; Pseudoscorpiones; Chernetidae. The record is from RNAcentral.
GUCCAGGGAAGGGAAUCGAACCCACUGUGUUCCGCUUACCGGGCAGAUGCCAUGUCCACUAGGCUACCCUGGA